UCAAAAUACCUGUCUAGUCAUUCUUUGUCUGAAAAUACUUCGUGUUUCUAGUCAAAGAGGGGCAGCUGUAGACAUGUGAUUUUUGAGCCUCCCCGAGAUUUCACCCAUUUUAGCGUAAAAUAUUUAGUUUAGGCCUAAUAUCGAUAUUUCAAUUAGUUUUGACUCUUUUACUUUAUUUUAUCUAAAAAUAAAAAGUACCAAAAUAUUUCUUCUUUUUAGUUGUUGUUAGUUUAUAUACCUUUGGUAAAACUAAAAAAUAAUACAAAAAUAGUACCUUAUUAUUUUAUACGAUAUAUGAAAAUACCAAAAAAAAGUUUUUUUUAAUGAUUAGUCUUAUCUUAAUGGUUAUUUUAUCUAAGUAGGAUUAAUUGGUAAAUGAGGUCAUAUUUUUAGUCUUGUUCAUGGAGAAAGAAUAAAAUUUGGGCUCAAACAACCCAUUUUAAGCCUAAUUUUCGGACGUAGCCCAUAAUUCCCAAGCCCAUAAUUCCUAGGUCCAUACCCCUUAACCUAAAAAAAACCUACAAAAACUAACCUAUACCCCUAAGAGAUAAAAUCCGCCGUUUAUGACCUUGAAAGACCCCCUCCCUAACGUCUUCUUGUCCUUCACAAGAAGAGGGGAUCGAUACACAAAACAAAAACCUGAAGCCAUAAGCAGAGAACGAGAACCGGGGGACCUUCAACUGUUUCACUCAUCUGAAUUUGCUUCUUCUUCAGUCUGAAUACACACACACACACACACACACAGAAACCAAUGAAGACCUAGAUCCGGUAGAGCUAGGCUUUUCAAUGGCAGAACACCUUUCCCUCAGCCAGAUCCCGAUCUUCUUCAACCUAACCAACGGCCCUUGCUCUCUUCAAACGCACAAAUAGCCGCUCACUUUCCUUCACCAACCCUUUCCAUCGCUGAUCCUUCGGCUUCAAAGUUUCAGAAAAUUGGAGAGGAAAAUUAGGUGAGUGAAGAGUCGAAUUUCAGUGUCAUUUUUCGAUUUUGUUUCGUAAAUAGGGUCGAGCUGAGGUUUGAAGUCGUUGAUGCCCGAGGUUUGCCGAUCGAGCUCCAUGUCCCUCUCUUUCUCUUGAUGUUAAUUGAAGUAUUAUGGCAGACUAAAUUUGGUUUGUCAAUAUUGAGAUUCACUCACCUCUGUUUGUUUUCGGUUUCUACAUGUGAAUUGAGUUCUGAAAUUUUCCGUUCUGCAAUUUGAUAUGAAUUUGUCUAGUUUCUUAUUCUAUUCUCCUCUCUACUGACUUAUGAUCAUAUCUGAGAGCCUUUUUAGUUGUUAAGCUCAUAUUUGGUAUUCUAUUGACAUAAUUUUGGUGAAGAAUCAAGAUAAAAAGAAGUAAGGACAUAGUCAAACUAAAAAUAGUACGAAAGUUGAAGUGAUUCUAAACACUUCUAACCUUUUCAAUGAUGUAAGUACUUGAUUUGCUAUUGAGUUUUCUCUUUGCAACGGUGCCUCUACCAAUAUAUUUGUUGACAGAUUAGAAGCAUCAAGGACGAAGAAAACUAGUUGCAGACCCAACAAUCUGUCUUGUUUGCAUCAUAACUUUUAAAAUCAUUCAUAAUCUCGCCACACCGUGCUUUGUCAUUUGUGGUGAAUAUUUUAUUUGAACGUUUUCAUUGCCUUAAAAUGAAUGUUGUGAAUUAAUUCGAUUGAGCUUUCAGUGCAUGAAUUAAUUUGUAUAUAAUUUUCUUUUAGAGUUUAAUUGUAUAGUGCUUUAGGUGGAUUAUGUAGAGUGCCUAAUGUUUCUUGUUUGGUCUCUUAAAAUAGAAAUGAGGAGCUGGGUUAUUCGAGAAAUAUCAUAUGGCCCUUAUCAUCUUUAAGCCAUCUUUCUUUAUCUUUUCCUUUCCCAUCUUAUGUUAUUUGUUUUCUUUAUCUGAUUAUUUAUUUUAUAAUAUUAGAUGUCUCUUGGAUAUUUACUUGUCAUAUACGUUGAUCUCUUUAAUUUGUGUGAAUUAAAUCGUUUGCAACAUGCCGAGAGGGUUUGGGACUUAAACAUGAAAAGAGACUAAGCAUGAUAUGGUUAUUGUCUUUAUUUUAGUUUAUUUUAUCUUUUCUUUUCCCAUUUUGAGCGCUAGAAGCAUAAUUGUGAUUUUCCAAAAUUAAAACAGAAGUAUGUGUUCGUGCAACUUUGGGCGAAACAGUCUUCAUAAAAAUAAGUGUUAUUAAUUGUGUACACGUUCGCGUGACACGAGUAAGAUUUAAAAAAAUGAAUAUUCAUAGAAAAUGCUUUAGGCGCAUUUAAUGUAUCGUCGUGAUUGUGGACACGUUCGCGUGGCAUAAUUAUGAUUUUAAAAAUGGAAUCGGAGUAUGCGUUCGCGCAACUUUGACUAAACUUUCUUAAUAAUGAUAAAGCGUUAUUAAUUGUGGACACUUUCGCGUGACAUGAUUUUGGACGUGCCAAACAAAUAGGUACACGUACGCGUGACCUAUUUUUUAAGAUAAUUUCAUAAUUAAAAGAGGCAAAUGCACAUAGGUUCUAAAAUGAGUAACUAGACGAUUUAUUAAGCCAAGUAUGAUCAAAGUGACCGUGCUAGAACCACAAAAUCCGGGAAUGCCUAACACCUUCUCCCGAGUUAACAAAAUUUCUUACCCGGAUUUCUGUGUUUGCAGACCAUAAGAUAAGAGUCAACCUUCCUCGAUUCGGGAAUUAAACCAAUGACUUGGGACACCAUAAAUCAUCCCAAGUGGCGACUCUGAUUUCUAAAUAAAAUAAUCCCGUUUUGAUUGCCACUUAAAUUGGAAAAACUCUCUUAUAUCCCUUCACGGGAUAGUAAAAAGGAGGUGUGACAGUCAUACAAGUGAAGGAAGCCGCACCUAAUGUCCGAAACAAUUCCCUCCCUGAUUAUAGAGGUGACAAUGUACAUGUUAUAGAAACAAAUGAGGAAUGGGACCCUGAGGGGUCAAUCGGGCUUAUCCGAGAAGGCGAUGACUUUAAGGUUGCAGUUACACUCACUCCUUUUGUGGUUCAGACUCAGGCACGUAUUGAUGUUGAGGUAGCUGCAUUAGCUCCAUUCGAGGUGGAAGUAACUUCACCCGCAGCCACCUCUGCUCCAUUCGAAGUAGAAGUGGUCACACCUUUUACUGUGACGGUGUCAACCAUACCCCCAUUCAACUCAAAAGUAAUGCCCUAGGAUUAUGUCGCUGAGGCUUGGCGGAAAGGGAAGACUAAGAUAUAGGAAUCUAACACCGCACAAGGGAUGACUAGAACUGGAAGAGUCUACACACCUGAACACUUGGGAGGUUCAAGUAAGGAUGCCACUGCUAGGCAACCUGUCAUUGAGACAGGGACGGAUGACCUAUGGAGGAAAGUACAGGCGAAAGAGUAUUCUGUUAAUGAUCACCAGAACAAAGUCCCUGCUCAAAUAUCUAUCCUAUCACUACUAUAGAAUUCAAAGGCACAUAAAAAAGCCUUGAUGAAAGUACUGAGCGAGGCUUAUGUACCCAAUAAUAUCACUGGUGGAGAAAUGGCCAACAUGGCUGGUCAGGUACUGGAAAGCCAUAAGAUUAUCUUCCAUGAAGAUGAGCUGCCGCGCGAAAGUCUGAAUCACAAUCGAGCAUUGCACAUUACGGUACAAUUUGAAGACAAGUUCAUUGCCAGGGUCCUGGUUGAUGGAGGUUCUAGUCUGAAUAUUUGCCCAUUGGAUACCCUGAAAAGGUUGGACAAAGGUUUCCAUGAAAUACGAACUAGAAGCAUGAAUGUGAAGGCUUUCGAUGGGUCCUGGGGGGCCACGAUCGGGGAAAUCAACCGUUGCUUGCAGAUGGGGCCGAUUUGGUUCGAUGUUAAAUUCCAAGUGUUUGACAUACCAGCCUCAUAUAAUCUUUUGUUAGGCCGCCCAUGGAUCCAUACUGCUGGAGUCGUGCCUUCCACACUACAUCAAGUCGUAAAUUCGAAUGGAACCAUCAAGAGGUAAUCAUUCAUGGAUAUGGGAGUAACCCCAUAUACACCAGUCAAAGCAUUCCGGCCAUUGGACAUAGAAGAAGUCUAGGAGGGGAAACCUAUAAUCAUAUUAAACGGGUCAAUGUCGUCGAGAAGGAUAAGUGGUGGAGCAACAAAAUAGAAAGCAUACUAGCAUGGUCCGGAUAUGAACCCGGCAAAGGGUUGGGAAAGAACCUCCAAGGUAUCACCAAGCCGAUACGACUAAAAAACCAUGGUACCACCUUUGGGCUCGGAUACUAGUAUACAUGGAAAGAGUACAGGGAGUGGUCACCUCCAUGGCAUGGACUGUAUUACCCUCUUGAGCAACCGGUGCCCCGUUUGGAACAAGUUUUCCAUAAGGCGGACAUAAUAUGGGGAACUACUGAAGAAGAAGUACUAGCUGGACUGAAGGAUCUGUUCUUGGAAGAUGAGGAUAUGGGCUGCAGUGCCAUAAUUGAGGAGGAGAAGGAAGAAUGCCUCUCUAUUCAGACUGUGCCAAAGGGAGGUAUUCUCAGAAACUAGACCACCACACCAUCCCAAGCCCGCUGAGUCCCUAGGUAGCUUGGCAGAAUUUAUAGCUGUUCUAGGCAUUUAAAUUUUCAGCAAUUUUGUUUUAAGAUUUCUUUGCUUCAAAUAAAUGCUCGAUCCACCGAGGCAAGCUUUGUUUGAACAAUUUUCUUAGUUUUAAUCAAACAUGUUUAUCCUUUAUCAUUAUUCAUUACUAUUUUUUAUACUUUUCCAUUCUACAUCAUUAUUAUUUCUUUCAUGAUGAACUAGUGACUGUGACAUGUAAUGAGGCAACGCAAUAUGAGAAUGGUGACUCAGAGGAAGAAGAUGAGAUACCCAAGGAAAUUGUCAGAGAAGCUGAGAAUUUUGAGAACAAGCCUAAAUCCAACUUGGACGAAACAGAAGCAGUAAAUUUGGAGACACCAAGACCGUCAAAGAGACUCGUAUCAUAUUCACUUGUCGCCAACAGAGAAGGAAGAGUACAUCCAUUUUCUAAAGGAAUAUGAGGAUAUAUUCGCAUGGUCGUAUUACGAUAUGACCGGUUUGAGUUCAUCUAUAGUGGCUCACAAGCUGCCUACUAAUCCCAUGUGUCCGCCAGUCAAGCAUAAACUCAGAAAAUUCAAACCAUACAUGAAUUUGAAAAUCAAGGAGGAAGUUACCAAGAGGAUCAAAGCCAAGGUUCUUAGGGUGGUUGAGUACCCAACAUGGUUAGCUAACAUUGUGCCAAUUCCGAAAAAAAAGACAGGAAGGUCCGAGUAUGUGAUUAUUAUCAGAAUUUAAAUAGAGCAAGUUCCAAAGAUGACUUCCCACUGCCAAAUAUACACAUCCUAAUCGAUAACUGUGCCAAGCAUGAACUCCAAUCCUUUGUAGAUUGCUUCGCAGGUUAUCACCAAAUCUGGAUGGAUGAAGAAGAUGCCGAAAAGACAACUUUUAUUACGCCUUGGGGUGUAUACUGUUACAAGAUGAUGUUGUUUGGUCUGAAGAAUGUGGGGGCCACUUACAUGAGGGCCAUGACAACCAUCUUCCAUGAUAUGAUAUACAAAGAAAUAGAGGUAUAUAUGGACGACGUCAUUAUCAAAUCCAAGAUGGUCACAGAACACAUAACAGACUUGAAGAAAUUCUUCGACAGGCUCAGGAGGUAUAAUUUGAAGUUGAACCCCGCAAAAUGUGCAUUCGGGGUUCCUGUAGGAAAGUUAUUGGGAUUCAUUGUCAGUCGCCGAGGGAUCGAGCUAGAUCCGACUAAAGUCAGAACUAUUCAAGAGCUACCGCAACCUAAAAGCAAAAAGGACAUGAUGAGCCUCCUGGGGUAACUCAACUACAUUAGCCGAUUCAUAGUACAGUCAACAGUAAUAUGUGAACCCAUCUUCAAGAUGCUGAGGAAAAAUGCCGAGACAAGUUGGACCGAGGAUUGUUAGAAAGCUUUUGACAAGAUCAAGGAAUACCUGUCCACACCUCCAGCUCUGGUCCCUCCAGAACCAGGACGACCUUUGCUACUUUAUCUAUCCGUGUUAAAUGGAGCCUUCAGAUGUGUUUUGGGACAACAUAAUGAGAUAGGAAGAAAGGAGCAAGCCAUAUAUUACGUAAGUAAGAAAUUCAUACCUUAUGAAGCACGGUAUUAUCUACUCGAACGCAUUUGUUGUGCUUUGACCUGGACAACACAGAAAUUGAGGCAUUAUUUCUGUGCCUACACUAAAUACCUCAUAUCCAGGAUGGAUCCUCUGAAGUACAUAUUUCAGAAGCCCAUGCCUAUGGGGAAGUUGGCUAAAUGGCAGAUACUGCUGAGUGAGUUCGACAUCGUCUAUGUAACUCAAAAGGCAGUCAAGGGACAAACAUUGGCAGAUCACCUUGCUGAAAAUCUGAUGGGAGGAGAAUACGAACCCCUGAAAACGUAUUUUCCUGAUGAAGAAGUAUCAUUCGUGGGAGAAGCCAUUACAGAAGCAUAUGAUGGUUGGAGGACGUUCUUUGAUAGAGCCGCAAAUUUCAAAAGAGUAGGCAUUAGAGCAGUUCUGGUAUAAGAAAUGGGUUAGCAUUAUCCUGUAUCUGCUAAACUCAGAUUUUCCUGCACCAAUAAUAUGGCAGAAUUUGAGGCCUGCAUACUAGGGCUCAAUAUGGCAGUCGACAUGAACAUUUAGGAAUUGUUGGUGUUUGGUGAUUCAGAAUAUCUUGUGCACCAGGUACAAGGAGAAUGGGCUACCAAGAAUUCCAAAAUAUUGUUAUAUCUGCACCAUGUGCAGGAAUUGAAAAGGAGGUUCACGAAAAUAGAAUUCAGACAUGUGCCCAGAAUUUAGAAUGAGUUCGCCGACGCAUUAACCACGUUGUCAUCAAUGAUACAACAUCCAGAUAAGAACUAUAUUGAUUCCAUUUCAGUGAGAAUCCAUAAUCAGUCGGCAUAUUGUGCUCAUAUCGAGGAAGAAACAGAUGGAAAGCCUUGGUUCCAUGACAUCAAGGAGUACUUAUAAAAAGGAGAAUAUCUUGGGCACGCAAAUCACAUUAAAAAAUGCACGCUUCGUAGAUUGUCAAAUCACUUCUUCCACAGUAGAGAGAACUUGUACAAAAGAACUCCGGAUUUGGGUUUGCUAAGGUGUCUCGACGCAAAGGAAACUUCUAAGCUACUUGAGGAUAUGCAUGCUGGGACCUGCGGUCCGCACAUAAAUGGUUUUGUUCUGGCCAAGAAGAUACUCAUGGCAGGUUACUUUUGGAUGACCAUUGAGAUGGAUUGUAUUCAGUAUGUCCGCAAAUGCUUUCAAUGUCAAGUACAUGCCGACAUGAUAAAAGUGCCACCAAACGAUCUCAAUGAAAUAAGCUCACCUUGGCCAUUCGCCGCCUGGGGAAUGGAUGUUAUUGGUCCGAUUAAGCCCACGACUUCAAACGAACAUCGAUUUAUUCUGGUAGCCAUUGAUUACUUCACAAAAUGGGUAGAAGCUGCAUCUUACAAAGUACUAACCAAGAAAGUCAUCGUAGAUUUUGUCAAGGAUCGUAUUGUGUGCCGAUUCGGAGUUCCUGAGUCCAUUAUUACCGACAAUGCUGCCAACCGUAACAGUGACUUGAUGAAAGCUAUAUGUGAAGCUUUCAAAAUCAAGCACAAGAAUUCCACAACCUACAUACCUCAGAUAAAUGGAGCAGUAGAAGCUGCCAACCAAAACAUUAAGAAGAUACUAAGGAAAAUGGUAGAGAAUCACAAGCAGUGGCAUGAGAAGUUACCCUUUGCUCUGUUAGGGUACCGCACCACAGUUCACACAUCAACUAGGGUAACCCCUACAUGCUGGUUUAUGGUACGGAGGCUGUCAUCCUAGCCGAGGUAGAGAUUCUUUCUAUAAGAGUCAUACAGGAAGCGAAGCUCAGCGAUGCAAAAUGGAUAAGAAGUUGCUAUGAACAGUUGUCCCUUAUCGAUGGAAAAAUAAUGAACGCAGUAUGUCACGGCCAACUGUAUCAGAACAGAAUGUCCAGAGCUUUCAACAAAAGGGUCAAACCAAGACAGUUUGCACUAGGGCAGCUGGUAUUGAAGAAGAUCUUCCCACACCAAGAUGAAGCCAAAGGGAAAUUCUCUCCCAACUGAAAAGGUCUGUAUAUGGUUCACAGGGUACUAACUAGAGGAGCACUCAUACUUGCAAAGAUGGAUGGAGAAAUCUAGAUAAAACAAAUUAAUUCAGACGCAGUCAAGAGAUACUAUGCCUAGAUCAUUUCACAUUUUCUUUUCUAAUGUAAUUAAACUACGCUUGACCUAAUUCCCAUUUAAAAGGGGAUAUGUAGGCAGACUUAUGGGUUUGGUCAUAUCAUAAUAAAAUUUUCAUUUUCCCCCAGAAUUAGAAACUGGGGCAGAAUUUUGAGGAGGGUCCUCAAAAUUUCGGAACAAGUCCAGCCAGCGCCAUCACAUGCCAGGAAGUCAGUCAUCAGUCAAGAACUGGGGCAGAAUUUUGAAAAGGAUUCCCAAAAUUCUGAAGAAGGUUCAUCAAGGUCCGCCAUCCGCAAACAGUUAAAAAUCAUCUAUCAAACUGGGGCAAAAUUUUGAGGAGGACCCUCAAAAUUCCAACAUAAGAGAGCUGCAAUGCCUUUGAAAUAUGUCACAAUCGCUAGUUCAUCAAAAGUUACUUGAUAUAUCGAUACGCUUCCAAAAAAUCCUAUUUUAUCAAUGAACGCAUAUUUUUCGAAAAUUCUAUUCUAUUUUUUUUCAUAACAGUCAGGUGCUAACUAGGGGAACUCGAAGGGGGCUUCCAGAGCGGAGCAAAGCAAGGCCGGCAGACGAGGAAAGAACCAACCUCCCCUCAUGAAACUUAUGAGUUUUCUUUGAACGCAGGCACAUUUGACGAUAGCAUUUGUACACAAAGCAAAUUCACCAUCCAUCCGUCCGUUAGAUGCUGAACAUAUCCUAGCUAAGAUAUACUCUACCCUUAUCUGCUAUUUUCUAUUUGUAUGAGUCUAAUCUCUGACUCCACAUUUGCAUGAGUCUAAUCCUUGACUCCACAUUUGUAUGAGUCUAAUCCUUGACUCUAUAUUUGCAUGGGUCUAAUCCCUAACUCCAUAUUUGCAUGAGUCUAAUCCUUGACUUUAUAAUUGCAUGAGUCUAAGCCCUGACUCCAUAUUUGUAUGAGUCUAAUCUCUAACUCCAAUCAUGCAUGAGUCUAAUCCCUGACUCCAUAUUUGUAUGAGUCUAAUCCCGGACUCCAUAUCUGCAUAAGGCUAAGCAUUGCCUUCCAUUUGCAUGGUACUAAGCCUUGUCUCGAAUCUCGCAUGAGGUUAAGCUCUACCUCUAUAUUUGCGUAAGGAUAAGCGCUGCCUUCUUCUUGCAUGAGACUAAGCUCUAUCUCCAAUCUUGCAUGAGUCUAAUCCCGGACUCCAUAUUUGCAUAAGGCUAAGCACCGCCUUCUCUCUGCAUGAGUCUAAGCCCUGACUCAAUAUUUGCAUAAGGUUGAUCCUUACCUCCACACCUGCAUAAGUCUAAGCCCUGACUCUAUAUUUGCAUGAAGCUAAUCCUUGCCUCCCCAUUUGCAUAAGACUAAUCCCUGCCUCCCCACUUGCAUGACACUAAACAUUGUCCCUCUUUGCACCAAUGUUGCUCUAUUUUCUACUAUUAUCUACCUGUUUUUCAAUCGGGCUAAGCUUUGCCCUCUACUUCGCAAGACUAAACCUUGUCUUGUUACAUCAUAUUAUUGCAUAUCAUGGGCUGAAACAUUGGCAAUCUGUCCAAAGACGUCAUAGUCUAAAGGCACCAUCCUCAUAGCCGGAAGACACCAUGUCAUGGCCUGAGGAUCUCUCAAAUUUGCAUAUCAUUAUUCAAAGGAGUCAUGGUUCGGAAGCACCAUUUUCAUGGCCCAAGAAUAUCAUUUCAUGGCCUGCGAAUCCCUCAUUAAAACAUUUAUGGCCCAGGACGUCAUGGUCCAAGGACGUCAUCUUUAACCGUUUGAAGAUAACCUUCAUGGUCCAAAGGGAAUUUGCAUCAUGUUUAAAUUUUUGCAAAUAUGUUUGUAGCAUCUUUUAUCUGCAGGUGACCAACAAACAACAGCUAUCCUAGCAGGAGCAAUCUCGCUCAAGUUCCCUCCAACCAUCCAGAUCAUAGAAGCUUCCACAUCUCGUGUCCGUUCUCACAAUAACUUCAUCGACAUACUCCACAAGUGAAGCUAGAACUACACAUGGCCUGAUUCCUGUAAAACCAGGGAUAUGUAGGNNNNNNNNNNNNNNNNNNNNNNNNNNNNNNNNNNNNNNNNNNNNNNNNNNNNNNNNNNNNNNNNNNNNNNNNNNNNNNNNNNNNNNNNNNNNNNNNNNNNNNNNNNNNNNNNNNNNNNNNNNNNNNNNNNNNNNNNNNNNNNNNNNNNNNNNNNNNNNNNNNNNNNNNNNNNNNNNNNNNNNNNNNNNNNNNNNNNNNNNNNNNNNNNNNNNNNNNNNNNNNNNNNNNNNNNNNNNNNNNNNNNNNNNNNNNNNNNNNNNNNNNNNNNNNNNNNNNNNNNNNNNNNNNNNNNNNNNNNNNNNNNNNNNNNNNNNNNNNNNNNNNNNNNNNNNNNNNNNNNNNNNNNNNNNNNNNNNNNNNNNNNNNNNNNNNNNNNNNNNNNNNNNNNNNNNNNNNNNNNNNNNNNNNNNNNNNNNNNNNNNNNNNNNNNNNNNNNNNNNNNNNNNNNNNNNNNNNNNNNNNNNNNNNNNNNNNNNNNNNNNNNNNNNNNNNNNNNNNNNNNNNNNNNNNNNNNNNNNNNNNNNNNNNNNNNNNNNNNNNNNNNNNNNNNNNNNNNNNNNNNNNNNNNNNNNNNNNNNNNNNNNNNNNNNNNNNNNNNNNNNNNNNNNNNNNNNNNNNNNNNNNNNNNNNNNNNNNNNNNNNNNNNNNNNNNNNNNNNNNNNNNNNNNNNNNNNNNNNNNNNNNNNNNNNNNNNNNNNNNNNNNNNNNNNNNNNNNNNNNNNNNNNNNNNNNNNNNNNNNNNNNNNNNNNNNNNNNNNNNNNNNNNNNNNNNNNNNNNNNNNNNNNNNNNNNNNNNNNNNNNNNNNNNNNNNNNNNNNNNNNNNNNNNNNNNNNNNNNNNNNNNNNNNNNNNNNNNNNNNNNNNNNNNAUAUAUAUAUAUAUAUAUAUAUAUAUAUAUAUAUAUAUAUAUAUAUAAGUAUGCACAGGGUUUUUUAUUAUUUUUCCCAUAAUUUUAAGGGUUUAAAUUGAUUCGUUUUCUCCCCGUUUAUUCAUAAAAUCACCAAUAAUUAUUUUCUAAAUUAUUGUUAUGGUGAUUUAUUCAUCUAAUUUCAAUACCUAUGCCAAAAUAUGGUUAAUAUAUUUUUCAUGCAUUUUUAUAAUUACAUUUAGUAUUUUUAAUCUAAUUUGCACAUAAUUGCAAUGUUAGCCCAUUUUAAGGUAUAAUUAUAUUUUAAAUGCAUAAAAUUGGUCCCUAUAUUUUUAAAAUGAUAAUUAUGUAUUUUAAAUCAUUUUGGAACCUUAAAUUAUUUUUCAAAAAUUACCUAUUAUUUAUUAUAAAUUAAAAUAGGGAAAAUUAGCUAUUUAAAUCAUAGCUAGAUUUGGCUUUCAAUUUAGUCUAACUCGGACCCCUCCCCAGCCCAAUAUCCUAUUAAAUAACCCGACCCAGGCCACAAAUACUUCCUACCUGACCCAAACCCAUCAGAUCUUGGCUGUUGAUCUAAAAGAUCAACGGCCAUCCUUUGCUCUUUCCUUUUUUAAUUCAUACACCCCCCAAAACCCUAAACCAUUUUCUAAAUCCGCCGCCUUCAAAUCCUCACAUCUUAUCUCUUCUCUCAACCUAACCCUAGACUCUGUCGAUCGCCUCUCUUCUCCGGUUAUCUCCGGCGACUACCUUUCAACCCCAAGCCUCUAAUGGUCACGACACCGCCUUGCUCAUCAUAUCUAAGGCCUUCAAGGUCCUGGGCCAUGCCGAUUUGGAUCUAGGGUUUCUGUUUCUUUUAAUCAUGGCUUCUCCGGUGUGAUUGGCAAAAUCACACCUUAUAUGUUAUGAUCGGUGAAGUUUACAACAGGUUCUGUCGUUUCUAUCUAGGUUCCUUUUGAAACCCUAACUCUCGUUUGAAUCUCUUAGAUCUGUGUUAUUUUUAACGCUUUAAGUCUAUUUCUUCCUAUGAUUUGCACUAUUCUCGAACUUCUUCUGAAAGAUCCUCAACUUUAAACCAUUUUCCUUUCUUUAAAAUUAGGGUUUCUCGGAGUUUCUUCUACACUUGUUUUAACCGACCUUUUCUUUAUGUUUAAACCCCUUUCCUUGCUUAUCAUGACUAAUCUUAUGUUCUUACUGCUUUUUAAUUCGCCUAUAUCAAAAGCCCUAAUUUCUAAGAUUUUCUUUGCUUUGGUUUUGUAUGUUAGCCUGUUUACUUGAUUCUUGUUAAUCUUCCGUGGUUACCAUGCUUUGAAUGUGUUUUACUGAAUCCUUAGCCUACUUAUGUCGCUUCUAUAUGACUGUGCUCAUUUUGUUUGUUCAUCUCUUGCUUCUUUCUGUCACUAUGGCUAACCUUGCCCGUUUGCUACGCCUGUUUGAUCUUCUCUAUUUAUAUGUUGAAAAUACAGAAUCACGACUCCCUCGUGAUUGAUUCUGAUUUCCUUAAUUGAUGGUGAUUGAAGGAUUUUCUUUUAAAAGACCUAAAACCUUUACCCGGCCUGUUUAAGCUAACUGAUUUCGUUACCAUAUUUGCUAUGAUACUUUAUUUCUACUGAGUCGUGUCCUUAAUUAUGGUUUUAUGAAUUUAGUCCUAAUUGACUACUUUAUGCUUACUGAAACCUUACUCCUUCCUUAUUUAGUUAUGCACUGAUUUUUCUUCUUGCCUUAUAUGAUACUGAAUCUUCCUGUUUGAUUUGAUUCCCGUAACUUAAGGGAAUAUUUCCUUGAUUCUCUAAUUGAUUGAUUCUGAGUUCUUCAAUUAUUAUGCUACUAUGAUUCUUACCUUAUUCCACUACCUACUUUCAAUUAUAAAUACUCUAAGUCUUUCAUUAACACAGACACAAACACUUGGUUUUCAAAAACUACCUCUCUUACUAAAAAUCUCUGCUCUCCCCUCUCUCUUGUGCUAUUUGCUGCUAUUAGCGGCUACAAGUCAAGGCUAAUCAUCUGUGCUCUAUUGUUCCUUCAUUCUGCUUACUUCUCUCUUCACUGGUAUGUCCUAGCUUUGAUUUAAAGCCUCAACAACAACAUGUUUCUCUUAUUGUUUCAGUUUCUCUUAUUUAUAGUCUACUUCUACUUGUGGUUCUGUUGUGAAACUUGUAGUUAAGUUACAUUAUCAGCAUGUUAUUAUGUCUCCCCUUCCCUUUAGAUUAAUGUAUUCCCAUAUGUGUGUUUCAAAGCAUGCCUUGUCAACUACCUUUUACUUAUUAUGUGUUUACCAUCCUAUGAGUCCCCAAAUCCUAUUACCCUAUUUCUAUGUGUUCUUCCUGACUGGUUUGUGAUUAUGCUAGUAUCAACUAUUUUUGAGCAUGUCCAAACCAGUCCUAAGACCCUUGCUGGGUUAUGUAUUUACAGUCAAAUGUCUGUGUAUCCCUAAACCCCUUGACCCAUGUGUAACUAUUGAAUUCAUUUGGAUUCUGUAGACUAGCUGUGUGUGAUCCUAUCUUAAGGUGUUUGAGCUUUGUUCACUACUCCAACUUCUUUUCAAACAAUCUCUGUUGCUUUACUAAUUGCUUUCAAAAUAAACUUUCAAAUUCAGUCUUUAAUAAACCUCUUUCAACUUGUGUCCUGCACUUUCACUUCAUUCUUAGUCAAUAAGUUCUGCCCCCUCUAGUAUGUGUACUAUCUUGGGAUCCUCUUGAGAGCCCUCUAAACUCUGGCAUACUGAGGUUGGCCUUUCCACACUGCACUGGUUCAACUCUUGGUUACUAAGUCUAGGUAUAAGCAUUUCCUGGGGUCCUUGAGACCCUUAAGGAACUUUGAUGCACCUAGACUCUGAUUUGUCUAUGGGAAUGAGGCUUGUGAGAUUAUUGGAGGCUUUGAGAAACUUGGGCCUAAUUACAGGCUCCCUAUAGAAUAGCUUCUUGAUUUCUAUUUCUACUUAUGUAAUUCAUUGGCCUGUAAUAAUUUGUAAACAGAUAUUUGGGAUAUUUAGUAAAAGGGUAGGUAGAUGUAUGCUUUAAAGGGUAAUAUGGGUAGAAAUCUUGCACUUAGGAUCUUAUUUUUGAAGUCUGUCUGCUUUACUCAAUAGAAAACAUGCUCAUAGGGUUUUCCUCUUUUAAAUCUGAUUGCUUUGUCUAAUAGAAAUCAUGCCUAUAGGAUCUUACUUCCUAUUUCGUUUGCAUUAGGUAGAAAUCUUGUUCAUAAGGUUCUGCAUUUUGUCAUGUUAGAGAUCAUGCUUAUAGGUCCCAAACAAUUGUGUUUAAAUCCAUUCAAAUAUAGAUGUCAUGCCUAUAGGACUCAACUCCGAUUCAGUUCUAAUAAGUCUUUCUGUAUGUUGCUGCAAAUUGUCUUAAAUUAGUAAUACGCCUGGAUAUCAUGCCUUUAGGGAUCCCUACUCGCAAUUCUGUAUGGUAAUUUAAUUAGCCCAAUGAAUCAACUUCAUUAUGCCUAGUUCAUUUUUUAAAAACUGGUCUUAUUAAGUGUCAAAUAUUUCCUGAAACAAGUUCUUUCAAAAUUACUUCAAUCUCAUUAGAUAUCAUGUAUAUAGGUAUUAAAGGGGUCUAUUUCGAAAACUUGUUUAUUCUUGCAUUAACAUAGACACAGUCUACUGCAUAUAGGCAAGCCUUAGGGAAUUUACCAAAAAACUGUAUUUCCCUGAAGCUGCUUCUGUCGUUUAACGUUUCUCAUUCUAAUAAGCUUUUAAAAGGAGUCCCUAGGCAACUACUAUGUUAUAACUUCUGGGUGUAAAAAGGUUUGUCUGUUUCUGCAUAUUCACUUAGAUAUCCUGCUUUAGAACUUUGAUUAAUAAAGACCUUAACUGUGUUUAAGUCGUGCUGCUUGUAUGUUUGUUUUUUUAGGAGGAAAUUUUGAGCCUCUUAAUCGCUCCUAUUAUGUGAAAGUCCUAAGUAUUUUGACUAUCGCCUUAGAGUUUUCGCCUUUCUAAACCUUAGGGGUAUGUCUAGAACUACCUAUAAGUAGAGGUCCUAACUCCCUCUGAGACCAUUAAGAAGGGACGGGUAAUAACACGCAAUAGGUAUCAGUGACCAAACACUCGCUUUGCAUGACCAAUAAAGGGAUGGGAAGGGUAGACAUGGGAUAUGAUGACUACGCAUUAAUGUCACGUGUAGCCCCUCAUCGAGGAGUGUUUAUCGGACAUUGCGUGGGGUGAUCCUAUAAGACAUACAACCUAGGACCCCUCUUUACCAAAUCCUUUCUCUAUUCAAAACUUUUCGUCUUUUACAACUUGUUCUUACUACUUAAACUAUCCAACGUGCUUUACUUGCAACUUAUUUGAUUCUACUAUUUAUAUGGACUAAUUUGUAAAUAUAACUUCGGUCGGGACCCACAGUUGUAGACCAAGAGGGGUGCCUAAGACCUUCCCCUCAAGGUUACUUCGAGCCCUUAUCCUAAUCUCUGGUAAUGCAAACCAACCCAAGAGUUAACCACUCUAGGUUUCCUAACGCACCACAAUUCGUUAGGUGGCAACUCUUCAAAUACCCAAUUCCCAAAAGGGAAAUGAGUCAUUACACCCCGUGAAUGUCAAAACCCGGACUUUCUCUGCAGAGGAAAAAAAGGGGCGCGACAUGGGGCUAAAGAUAAUAGUGUUUAUUUAGAUACUGAUUCUGAUAACACACAUUAUUUUCACACUUGUUCUUGUCAAAGAUUCUUUGAUUCCAGGAUAAAACAUGUCAAACUCAUAGAACGCACCGUACACGGUGAUAACGGUCUUAAUUUCCACGAAAAAAGUGAUAACAUAAUUGCUCCAGAUGUCGAUAUACCACCGAUAAACCCUAGGGAAGUGCCAAAUGUGGAACCAGUAGAUGUUAGUUCACACAUUGCUUUGAAUGCAGAUCUAGGCAUAGAGCCCGGAGCAAGUGUACGCAAGAAAGUCAGAUCUGGUGGCCAAAGAACACAGGGUGUAGGAGAUGGGGGAAUCAGCCUUCAAGUAAUAUUUGAGAUGCUACAAGCUAAACAGAUUGCCAUCGCUCAACUUCAAAGUCAGAAUAAAACUCCAAGUAUAGUCGAACCAGAAAACACUCAACAUACUGAGCCGGUGCCAGAGAGAUCAAACGAGAAUGGCUCGGGGACUGACCCUACAAUUAUGAGGAUAGUCGAGGAACUCAUCAAGAGGAUCGAGUCCGGUUAGAAGAAGAUUGAGGAUAAUGACAAAAAGGUAGAGACUUAUAAUUCCCGUGUUGAUCAAAUACCGGGGGCACCCCUGGUCUUGAAAGGAUUGGACGCCAAAAAAUUCAUACAAAAGUCGUUUCCCUCGAGCGCAACUCCAAUGCUCAUCCCAAAGAAGUUCCAUAUGCCCGAUAUACCUAAAUACAACGGAACAAACUGAUCCCAAGGAACAUAUUACCUCGUAUACUUGCUAGAUUAAAGGAAACGACUUGAAUAAUGAUGAGAUCAAAUCAGUAUUGUUGAAAACGUUUGGAGAAACCUUGUUUAAGGGAGUCAUGAUUUGGUAGCACAAGUUGCCCCUGAACUCUAUCGAUUCAUUUGCUACGUUAGUAGAUGCCUUCGUAAAAGCACACAUAGGGGUUAUAAAGGUGGUGACAAGGAAAUCAGAUGUUUUUAAGAUAAGGUAGAGGAACGAUGAGAUGCUAAGGGAGUUUCAAUGCGGUUUCAGAUGGAGCGAAUGGAAUUACCACAAGUUUCGGAUGAUUGGGCAGUACAAGCUUUCAUGCAGGGUUUGAACGAGCGGAGUUCGAUCGCGUCUCGACAAUUGAAGUAGAAUCUGAUCGAGUAUCCAGUAGUGACGUGGUCAGACGUACAUAAUCGUUACCAAUCAAAGAUCAGGGUUGAGGAUGACCAGUUGGGAGCCCCUUCGGGUUCAGUUCAUCCUAAUAGAUUGGCAGCUAAGCCCAUGAGGGAUACAAACUUGGAAUUAAGAUAAAACAAGGAACAGUAUCAGCCGUAUGUCGAUCGGAGAAACAGUGGUUCGGGGCGUAACUCUCCUCGGAACGAUCAAAGAAAUGACCGAGGUCAAAGCUCUCAGGGACUCAUGAGUAAGAAUGGAUUUGACAAAUAUACCGACCCCGUGGAAGUACCUCGACUGUUAGAGUAUAAUUUCAGUGUAGAUGCAUCGGGGAUUGUAUCAGCUAUUGGAAGAAUCAAAGACAUCAGGUGGCCAGGCCUAUACAAACCGAUCUCUCUCAAAGGAAUCCAAACUUGAUGUGUAAGUAUCAUGGAACACAUGGCCAUAAAACCAAAGACUACAGGCAACUGGGGAGGAAGUAGCUCGAUUGUUCAACGAAGUUUAUCUUCGAGAAUUUCUCAGUGAUCGAGCUAAGAACCACUUCAGGGAAAGAGAUGCAAACAGAAAAAAUGAGCAAGAAGAACCAUAACAUGUAAUUCAUAUGAUCAUUGGCGGUGUCGAUGUUCCACAAGGGACUAUAUUCAAACGCACCAAGGUGUCGAUCACCAGAGAAAAAUAGACUCAGAUCUAUGUGUCCGAGGGCAUCCUAUCAUCCAAUGACGAGGAAACGGAAGGCAUAUUUCAGCCACAUAAUGACGCCCUGGUAAUUUUUAUUUUGUUAAAUAAAUUUCAAGUUAAACGUGUUCUAGUGGAUCCAGGUAGCUCAACAGACAUAAUCAGAUCGAGGGUCGUAGAGCAUCUCAGCCCACAAGACCAAAUUAUACUGGCAUCCCGAGUCCUAAAUGGUUUCAACAUAGAAAGCGAAACAACGUAGGGGGAGAUAAUCCUACUAGUUAAAGUGGCUGGAACAAUCCAAGAAACAAAAUUCCAUGUCAUCGAAGGCGACAUAAAGUAUAAUGCCCUUCUCGGAAGGCCAUGGAUCAACAACAUGAGGGCAGUACCUUCAACCCUUCAUCAGAUGAUGAAAUUCCCAACAGCAGAUAGUGUAAAAAUGGUUUACAAAGAACAACACACUGCAAAAGAAAUAUUUGUAGUUGACGAAGUGAUACCAAUACCAAUGCCUUUAACCUCAAAAAAAUCGGGGGCCAAAGAUAAGCAGGCGGCCAAAUAGCAUUCACCGAUCCCAGACCUGAUCGAGCCAGAGGAACAGAUAAUCGGAGAAGAAAAAGAGGAUUUCCUUACUCCUCGAACCAUCGUUGUUCCCGAAGAGUCGAACGCAACCAAAUCAAUGGUCGAGUACAUGCCCGAGAAAAAGGUAUAUAUGGGGACGGGGUUAACCCCCGAACUCAGGAAAAAACUCAUUCAAUUGUUAUCGAUAAUAUGGAUUGUUUUGCCUGGUCUCAUUUAGAUAUGACAGGGAUCCCACCGAAAAUAACAACACACCGGCUAAGCAUCGAUCCCAGGUUCAAACUGCCGAAGCAAAAGAGAAGGCCCCAGUCCGAGGUGAAGCGUGCAUUCAUAAAGGAUGAGGUAAUCAAACUUCUUAAAAUAGGGUCUAUUCGGGAAGUAAAAUACCCCGAGUGGUUAGCCAAUAUGGUCGUAGUUUCUAAAAAGGGAAGCAAACUUAGAAUGUACGUAGAUUAUAAGGAUUUAAACAAGGCAUGCCCUAAAGACUCUUUUCCAUUGCCUAGCAUCGAUGGCAUGAUCGGUGCCACAGCCGACCACAAGAUCCUUAGCUUUCUUGAUGCCUACUCUGGGUACAAUCAGAUUCAAAUGAACCCGGGGGACUAGGAGAAGACCUCAUUUAUCACCAAGUUUGGAACUUAUUGUUACAACGUAAUGCCCUUCGGGAUAAAAAAUGCAGGAGUUACAUACCAACGCCUAGUUAAUAAAAUGUUCAAGGAAUAGAUAGGUAAAUCUAUGGAAGUUUACAUUGACGAUAUGUUGGUUAAGUCCCUGCGCGCAGAGGACCAUUUAACCCAUUUGCAGGAAACAUUCAAAAUCUUGACGAAGUACAACAUGAAGCUUAACCUGGAAAAAUGUGCCUUUGGAGUCGUCUCAGGUAAGUUCCUCGACUUCAUAGUAUUGAAUAGGGGGAUUGAAAUCAACCCCGACAAGAUCAAGGCCAUCGAAGAUAUCAUAAUUAUGGAUAGUGCGAAAGUCAUGCAAAGGCUAACAGGAUGAAUAGACACCUUGGGUUGAUUCAUUUCGAGGUCAUCUGAUCAAAGUCAUAGGUUUUUUUCCUCGCUCAAAAAGGAAAAGGAUUUCGCAUGGACCCCGGAAUGCCAGCAAGCCUUACAAGAGUUGAAACGAUACUUAUCGAGACCACCUUUGCUUCACACCCUGAAUGUAGAUAAAAAGCUUUACUUAUAUUUGGCAGUGUUCGAGAUAGCGGUAAGUGGAGUACGAUUUCAAGAAGAGCAAGGUACUCAAUUCCCUAUUUAUUAUGUAAGACAAACUCUAGAAGAUGUUGAAAUUAGAUACCCUCACUUAGAAACAUUAGCACUUGCAUUAAUAAGUGCAUCUAGAAAGUUAAAUCCAUAUUUUCGAUUUCAUCCCAUAUGUUUAUUAACCACAUAUUCUCUCUGAAACGUUUUGCAUAAGCCCGAAUUAUCAGGCCGAUUGGCCAAAUGGGUAGUCAAACUUGGAGGCUACGAUAUCGAAUAUCAACCCUGAACGGCUAUCAAGUCUCAAAUCUUAGCUGACUUCAUGGCCGACUUUACACUGACCUUUGUACCUUAAGUAGAAAAAGAACUUCUGCUAGGAUCGGGUACAUCAUCGGGGGUAUGGACCCUUUUCACAGACGAUGCCUCGAAUGUGAAAGGGUACGGGCUCGGUAUUGUUUUGAAUCCACCCACAUGAAGUACUAUUAGACAAUAUCUUAAAACUUCUAGGUUGACUAAGAAUGAGUCCGAGUAUGAUGCCAUGAUUGCAGGUCUCAAGCUAGCUAAAAUCAUGGGGGCAAAAGUGAUCGAAGCCAAGUGCGAUUCCCUGUUGGUCGUAAAUCAAGUAAACAAAAGCUUUGAAUUUUGAGAGGAUAGGAUGCAAAGAUAUUUGGAAAAAUUACAAGUAACCCUACAUCGCUUCAAGGAGUGGACUCUAGACCAUGUGCCUCGAGAACAAAAUAGUGAGGCCGAUGCACUAGCCAACUUGGGGUCAUCAGUUGAAGACGAUGAUAUUGUCCCAAGGACCGUCAUCUAGUUGUCGAGAUAUGUGGUCGAAGAGGGUCAUGCUGAGAUAAAUUCUACAAGUUUGACUUGGAAUUGGAGGAAUAAGUAUAUCGAGUAUUUGAAAAAUGGAAAGCUCACAUCGGAUCACAAAGAGUCGAAGGCUCUACGAACAAAGGCUUCUAGGUUCACAUUAGAUGAAGAUGGAAAAUUAUACAGAAGGACGUUCGAUGGACCAUUGGUGGUAUGUUUCGGGCUGGGAGACACCGAUUAUGUUCUACGGGAAGUCUACGAAGGCACUUAUGGGAAUCACUCUUGCGCCGAGUCUUUGAUUCGCAAAAUUAUUAGAGUGGGGUAUUAUUGGGAUAAUAUGGAAAAAGACACUAAGGAGUUUGUCAAAAAAUGUGAUAAAUGUCAAAGGUUUGCACCGAUGAUUCAUCAGCUCGGAGAACAACUUCACUAAGUUCUGUCCCUAUUGCCUUUCAUAAAAUAGGGAAUGGAUAUCGUCGCCCCACUACAAAUGGCCCCAGCUGAAGCUAAGUUCAUUUUGUUUAUGACCGACUACUUUUCUAAAUGGGUGGAAGCACAGGCCUUCGAGAAGGUUGGAGAAAAAGAAGUUAUUGACUUCAUUUGGGACCAUAUCGUGUGUCGAUUCGGGAUACCUGCCGAAAUCGUAUGCAACAAUAGCAAGCAAUUCAUCGGCAGCAAGGUAACGAAGUUCCUUGAAGCACACAAAAUAAAUAGGAUCUUAUCAACAUUGUACCACCUAACCAGGAACGGACAGGCCGAGUCAACAAACAAAACUAUUAUUCAAAACCUAAAGAAAAGGUUGGACGAUGCAAAAGGAAAACGGAGAGAAGUUCUACCUGAGGUCCUUUGGGCAUAUCGAACAACAUCAAAGUCCAGCACGGGGGCUACUCCGUUCUCUUUAGUAUAUGGCUCCGAGGCAUUAAUCCUAGUCGAGGUCGAAGAACCCAGCGCCAGGUUUCGACAUGCAUCGGAGGAGUCAAAUCAUGAGUCUACGAAAACUAGCCUCGAUCUAUUAGAUGAAAAAUGAGAAGCUGCACUUGUACGGAUGGCGCACAGAAACAAAGAAUCGAGAGAUAUUAUAAUGGAAGGGCUAACCUUCGACACUUUGGAAUCAGGGACUUAGUUCUAUGAAAAGUCACCCUCAAUACUUGAGACCCAAAAGAGGGAAAACUGGGCCCGAAUUGGGAAGGACCGUAUCGAGUCAUCGAAGUUGUCGGUAAAGGAUCUUACAAGCUUGGCACGAUGGAAGGCGAACAACUACCGAACAAUUGUAAUGUAUCACUACUCAAACGAUACUACUGCUAAGGUAUGAUUUUCUCCUUUUGUCCAUUUAAAUUUAAAACUAACUCAUUACAGGUGUUCGAUCGAGAACAUCGAGGGCACCUUUUUACAUGAAGACCUUAGGUUUUAAAGUACGCGUUGCACUCUUUUUCCCUUAGAUCGGAUUUUGUCCCAAAUGGGUUUUACCGAUGAGGUUAUUAACGAGGCAACAACUAUAUGCUACCUAAGGAGAACUCAACAGUAUCCAAGGCUUCUUUUCAAUCAACCUUGAAUACUGGGGGGGCAUCACUCUCGGAGAUUAUAUUUUCGAGGAAAAUACUUCACGCCAAAAAGGGUCUCGAUAGGAUAACUUUAUAAUGGGCCAAACGGUCAGAUGAACCGUGUCCAUAUAGAAUAGUUGAGCUCCAACGGCAAAACAUGUACACAUGUAUCAAUUAUUUAAAGAAGCAUUCCUUCUAUAUCACAAUACUUUGUGUCUCAAAGAAAUUUGCUACUAUACGAGCAUCAUACUUGUGAUUUUGCAAGAAACGGCUCAAGGGCCAAAAUGCAAAUGCACCUCAAAUACUCGGGGGCUAACCUCUCGAAUAAGCUCGAAGGGUUAUCAGGAAACAAGUCGAAGAGACAUACCCGAAGUCUACGUCUAUAUUAAACAGUACGGUCAUAUAAAAAAGGCUACGGCCGAAAUAAUGUGGUACGACUUCUUCCAUAAGUUAAAGGCCUUCUAAUACUUUGAAAAAACUGGUUAAAUCAGGCUACUCUCGGCAAAAGCUAAUAAAAAGGGCUUCAAUAAAAUCAGCCCUUGAAUAACUGAAAAGCUUCGAUAAUAUCAGCCUUCGAAAAAGCCUCAAGAGGUAUUCAAUUAUCAAACCAAACGGAUUACGAGUGAGGUUUCAAUCGAUCAAACCUUCGAAAAACCCAACAGGUACAAAAACACAUGCUAAGGCAUAAAGAAAUUUUCAUUAAGUCUUUUAGCCGAAAAGAGGGAAAAAUUAUAGCCAUCUUAGAGGCCAAAGUGGCCCAACUUAAAGAGCCUAAGGGUCGACCUAAAAGAGCCUAAGGGCCAAUAUAAAAUAGCCUAAGGGCCGAAGCAUGUGGAGUUCGAGACCUCACUCUCACUCAAUUCGGACUCAAGAGUCCCGUCAUCCAGAGCUCGCAUCAAAUCAACUUAAACAUAGCUCGAGGAUUAACAAAAAACCUUAAGAGGUACUUUAUUAUAAGUUCUAAGAUCACCCAUUGACCACUAAAAAACCUAAGGGUUUAUUCUACUCUGAGUCCGAGCCUCUGCUCACUCAAUCAUUGAAGUUAUAACAUAAAAAAUUUCACAAAAUGAAGAUGGAGCAGAAUUUAACACAAAGAUGAAGAGGAAAGGAAGGGAAUUCCUUAUAUUUAUAAAAGGUAUUUAUAGUGCCCACGAGGAGCCUUACACAAAAACAAAAAUUUAAAAACCUAAGAGCCCAAUCUGCUUUGGGGGCCGCAUCCUUGGGAGCCGCUCCCUAGGGAGACUCAUCAUUGGGAGCCGCAUCUUCGAGGACUUCAUCCUCAUCUCCACCGCUCUCGGAACCACUAGCUGAGCCUUCGUCGUCGGAGAGAAAAGUGGCAGCCUCGUCCUCUACAGCUUUUGCAUUUUCAAUAUCAGCUGAGAAGUCAAAGCCACAAGCGUGUACCUUCUCCAUAGUUUCUCUCCGGGAUUGUAACCUGGCAUGAUUGAGAGCACAAAACAAUUUGACUUCAGAAGAAAUAGAGAUCUCAUGUGCCCAAAUAUUGGCAGCUUUGGCGUCAGCUUGAUAAGAAGCCACAAAUGCCUCUGCCUCGGAUUUAGCCUUUGCAAGCUCGGCGACUGAUUUAGCUUCGAGCUCCUCAAUCUUUAAGCUCUGGACCAAGCUUUCCCCUUGUGAAUUUUGAAGCUGGCAUUCCAUUGAAGCUAACUGGGCCGGAAGCGUCUCUUUCUCCAAGGCAAGAUAGUCCAUUUGCUGCUUCCACCCCAGGGUUUCCGCCUCUUUCAACUUGAUCUCCUCUCGAAGCUACUUCACUAGCUCGCCUUUCUGCUGAGCUUGCAAAAUUAAAGGCGUUAGUCACCAAAUAAAAUAAGCAUGCAGCUAACUUCCAAAAAGAACUUGCAUUACCCGCUCAAUAAGCUCAAUAUGUUCUUGAUGGGCCUUCGCCAGUUCGGCUCGAAGAUCACUGAUCUCGCCCUCUUUUUUGACAUAGAGGAUCUUAAAGUUGUCCCUCUCUUCAGCGAGCUUCUUGAGUUCUGCCUCAUAUCGAGCAAGCUCAGCUCGAGACUUGGAAAAUUCUUCUCGAUGGAGUGUCACAGCCUCUACAAAAGGAAAAAGUAGACUCAUAACAACAAAGAUAAAGCACAAGCGUAAUUUUAAGGGCAGAAACUUUCUUGUUUGAAGAGCUGCUAGGACUCAUCAAAAAUAAAUGUAGAAUUUGAGUCGGGACCAUCUUUGACCCCUGAAAGGCACUCCCGUAAGAUAUCACUCCCUUUGUGGGUAAUUCCCACAUCGGGAGUUCUCAUGUUCUAGGCAUCUCAGAAUUGUCCCUCUGAGAACUCGGGACCAGGCGACGAUUAAUCUAUGUUGAUUAUCCCAAGUGAUCCACUAGGGAUAUUCUCUUCUCUUUAGAGGGCCUCGGAACCGGGCCCAUCGAUCUCACCCGCUAAAUGAACUCCAAGACGAGGUGCUCUUUUGCUGCUCGAUGGCUCGGGGAGUUUGAUCGAACUCCCCUCCGAGAUUUCUUUAGUUCGAGAAUGAACCGCAUCAGCCACCAUUGGUUCAGUGGUGUUUGAAGCAUCAGUGCUUCAUCUUUUCCGAGCUACCAACAGGCAACAAUCAUUUUCUCUCUCCCCAUCCCCAUCCCGAAUGCGUUGGGACGUUUCUAGAGAUAGGGCCAAGGUAUCGUCCUUAGUCUUUCGAGCCUUACUUUUCUUUGGCUUUGGGGAACUUGCAGGUGACCUCAUUUUCCUCUUUUUUUCCUUGGUAGGCUUUGGGAUUUCUUCUUCACCGGGUGGGUACGGCUACAUAGCAAUAGUGUCUCCAAGGCUUGCAUAAUGAUAAAGUAAGUAUUUCACUAAGAAACACAAAUAUGUGAACAAGAGAACUCAUCGUGGUUCUUAGCUUCCCACCAACCCUUGGCCAAAUCACGCCAACUCCAUUCUGCCUAUGAAGAGGUGGAGGCCAGUUGUCGGACCUAACCUGCGAGUUUCGGGACCGCUCCAGGAAACCAAGAAACAGCUACAUCAUUAUAAAGGGAUUAGAUUGAGUAAAGGAUGAGAUCGAGAAAGAGUAGGGAAAGCAGAAUAUUAAGUCAUCAUCAAUAAAUUUGUACUUACGUUUCAUGUUUCAUUCUUUGGGGAAUGGCAUUCUCUCAACAGGAAUCAGAUUGGAGGUCCUGAUUCGGACAAACCGGCUCGUCCAUCCUCGAUCCUUAUCCUCAUCGAUGCUAGAGAAAAGGGAUUUCGUGGAUCGGCAUUGCAGCUUUAUCAUACCACCUCAAUAAAGGUGAGGACUAUAUAGCCUGAUCAGGUGAGCGAGGGUAAAAGGCAUCCCCUCGACCAGGCCCGAGAAAUAUAUGAUCAAAUUGACGAUGCGCCAGAAUGAAGGGUAGAUCUGGCCAAGCGUUACCUGGUAUUGUUGGAAAAAAUCAAGAAUCACUGGGUCUAUGGAACCCAGAGCUGGAUCUACGGGACCCAACAUGAAUGGAUAGGUAUACACGCUUAAAUACACGCCUUAUGGGUACUGAUGUCUUCUUCGGGGAAAAGGAUCACAACAUCUUUGUUCUCCCAGUUGUAGUCCUUUUUCACCUGCUCAAGCUCACCUUCAGUUAUCAAGCAGAUGUAUUGAGACAUGGGCUCACAAUGACUUGGUGUCGAAGCAGGUUAAUCGAUUUCAAAAUUAGAAGUUAUUUCGCACAGCCCGGGAAUACACUCCUUGAUACGAGGUGGCACCAUCGUUCUACCUAUGGCCGGCCGAGAUGAUAAAGAAGCUUUUUCUUUCUGACGAAGAGUUUUAGAUGUUUUAACCAUUGAAUUUUAUAAAUUCAAGAGAGGAGAAGGAGUAGAUGUUGUAGUAAGAGUAAAUUGAGAAGAGGGUGAACUCAAAGAAGUUGAAUGAGCUAAAGAGAUUUUAAGAAUGAUUUGAGAAGUAAAGUUUGCAAAAAUUAUGAAGUUGGCCUAUUUAUAGAGGCCGCUUAAGCAUUUUGGGGAAGCCAAAUAGCCGACCAUCAGCCGCCUCCAAUUAAUGACCUUGGGAACUACGCGGAAGCGACUUUUCAAUCACUUCAGCCGCUGAUAUCACAAGAUUGACAUCAUGGCCGAGGCAUUGGAGCAUCGAAGAUCAAAUCAUUUCUUAUCAUUCUACUCUAAGAAACGCGAGGACUAUCUGUAUACGGUCGAAAUCAGGUAUGCCUGAUUUCCUGGGCUUGAGGGGUUGCCUUAAGCCCGAGUUUGGGAUGGAUUGAGUUCGAGCUUGAGGGACUAAGAUCGAGCUCAAGGACAAAGUAUGAGGCUCGAAGAAUCAAGUGUUCGAGGAAUGUCAGAACCUAAUGUUAUUGGCCUCGAGAUAAUACCGUUAUGAAUUUGUAACAGAAUGAGCAAGAUUCCUUCCAUGUCCCCAAGAUUAUGGCGUAAAUCUCGAAAUAGAUUUGUACGAAUCCGUACUAGGCAGUUAGACAGUUGUCCCAAUAAAAUUCUUUACUGUAAAUAGAAAUGUAUCUUAUUUAGGGUUCCCCUAUUAUAUAAAGGGGACCCCAAUCAUUUGUAAACAGGAUCCAAUAAUUAGAAAAAAAUAUACUCUCUUACCUUUUCGCUCAUUGUUCAUCAUAAUUCUCCUUUAGCUUUAUAAUUCUUGCUUUAUUGUUCUUGGUCCAUCUCGAGGUCACAUUGGCUCGAGGUCGAUACUGCCUAGUAACACUGGUAUGAUUUACUCAUUUCUUUCAUUUACACAUCAUACUUCUUGAUUAUUAAUUAAUAUUGAACUAAAUCACGUUCUUUAAAACCACAAAUCAAAUUUAAUUGUUACUCAUAUUUUCGAGGUAAACACAAGAUGUUAGGACCUAAAUAAUCAGGUGUCAUGCGCAAGCUAGUAAAGUAAAUCUUAAAUGACGAUAAAGCACCCAACAAAAGAGAAAUAUACCAAAAGAGACACAACCAUUUUAACGUGGUUCGGCCAAUUGACCUACGUCCACGAAGGAGAUGAGUAAUACACUAUAUAUAAGAGAGUACAAAAUAUCGAGAGUACAAUCUCACAAAAAGGCAAACAUAAGUGAUAUACUAACACUAGUCCCGUAAAUUUCUCCCCCAUAAACAAGACUCUCAAACCCCAUAUGACUACAUUAUGGAUGUUGCUGAAUGAGAAGGAAUGAUCCUCAAUUUAUAGAAGUCCAAACAUUUUCCUACAAAAAAAAGGGACUAGCCAAAUAUGGAAGAAUUAUAAAUUUUUUUUUGUAAAAGGAAAAAACAAUUAUGGUAAAUAUGUUGUUCUUCCUUCAAAAGAUAGAAAAAUCAAAUAUGGUAAGAAAAUCAAGACAAAUAUGUAAUAAUUCUUCCCUUUGGCUUGAAUUUUCUGACAAAAUAAACUUGAUCCACCUUCGUCUCAUAACCUUCAACAUGUCGGAUCUCCAAAUCUCCACCACAAAGUUUUUCUCAAUGUGAGUAGCACUCCGGUAAAAUUUCUCAGACAAAAAUCAUGAUUACCGGCAAAUAAGUUGCGGCUAGAACUGAACCCGCCAGAUAAACCUGUCUUGAACUACACUCUAAUACCACUUGUUAGGACCUAAAUAAUCAGGUGUCAUGCGGAAGCGAGUAAAGCAAACCUUGAACGAUGAUAAAUCAAACAAAAAAAGAGAAAUAAACCAAAAAUGACACAAACAUUUAACAUAAUUGGCCAGUUGACCUACGUUCACGACGGAGAUCAUCCAUCCACUAUAUAAAAGAGAGUACAAAAUAUCUAGAUAAUAACCUCACAAAGAAGCAAACACAAGUGACACACUAACACUUGUCCCGUAAAGUUCUCCCCUAAAUUAACAAGACUCUCAAACCUUAUAUGGCUAUUUUGUGGAUGCUGCUGAAUAAGAAUGAAAGAUCCUCAAUAUAUAGAAGUCCAAACUUUUUCCUACAAAAAAAGGUACUAGUCAAAUAGGGAAGAAUUAUAUUUUUCUUUUCGUAAAGGAAAAAUCUAUUAUGGUAAAUAUGUUGUCUUUUCUUCAAAAGAUAGAAAAACCAAACAUGGUAAAAAUUUAUCUCCAUUCCGUAACAAAACUCAGAUAAAUAAUAAUUUUUCCUCUUCCUUGACAUAAUAGUGGCGACCUUCAUGGGCCAACAAUGGUAUGUCGAGGAAGAGGCAAACCCGAAAUAAAGAAGAUAAAAAACACCAAAAUUUAACGUAGAAAACCCUUCAAAUCGAAGGUAAAAACCACGGGAUCACAAAGAUUCAAAAAGAUCCACAAUAAAAAUAAAAAGGCUACAAUUUUUUUAAAAUUGUCUACACAACAAGUGUCAAAUGUAGCAACAAUAUUAACAAGAGAAACAACAAAUCAAGGUAAGAAAGAAGAGAAGUCACGAAAAUGGAGCUGUAGUUCAGAGCCCAAAAUCUUAUGUUACGUGUCUCCAUAUCUGAUCUUAACCAUUCGAAUUAAAUAUGAAGAUGUUAGAAAUACUUUGUCAAAAUUUUAAUACGAUCCAACGGUUAACGAAUUGCAAAACAUAAUUUGAAGUUGGAUGGUCGGAAUACAAUCUGCAUCAAAACAAACACUUUUUCUUCUCUCUUCUCUCUUGAUAAAAGCUCUCUCAAAAAUCACUCUCAUGUACUAAAGUCUUUCAAAUACUUAUACAAGUGAGCAUAGAACAAUUUUCCAAUGUUGUCCUUAUAGACUAUUAAAAUUUUAUUAAAUUUAAAUCCAUAAAAAAUUUGUAUUUUAUCUUAAAAUUAAACAUAUAUUAGUCCAAAUAAAUAUUAUGGACUAGUAUAAUUGGGUUAAUUAUUUAAAUCUAAUCAAAUUGAUUUAAAUAAAAGUCCUAUACUAUUGGACUAGCCCAUUAGUUGGCUUUUUAUCAAAUAGGUCGGCCCAUGAGCCCCAAGUCCAAUGGCCCAGUAGGGUUUUCUUGGAGGCUACUCCACCUUACACCUAUAUAAAGGGGUCAAAGGACAAGGCUAGAGGAAAAUAAAGUAAGCAGAAGGAAAGGCUAAAGAAGCUCUGAAGAAUAGCAUCAGGUCUCCAUCCAUGUCUGCAAUCGUCAUUUGUGGUCAAAUAUCAAAGGUGAACUCAAAUCAUAUGUGGACAGCUUCAAAUCUUCCGUUCGUGAUAACCCGACACCAAAGCCUGGUUCGUAACGACCUUCAAAUUGUUCGUGACGUACUACAUAUUUGAAAUCCGUCAAGUUCAAGAUCAAGCUCUCAAGCUCUUGAACAAUCAUUCGUGAGGAGAAGAAUCAAAGGAUUACAUCUCUUUAGAUUUGAAAUAUUUUAGAGACUGUAACCCCAUCAAUUGAAAUCAAAAAUAAUAUUUAUUGCUAUAUUUCUUGUCUUGAUUAUUAUUUUUCAGGUGCAAAAUUAGUUGUUACAGUCCUAUUUAUAGAUGAUGAGUGGUUAAAGUCAAAACUAACUCUAAAUAGGAAUAAAAACCUAAUCCAAUUCCGAAUAGGAAUGGAAACCAAAAGAGAAUAGGAUUAAGCUAUUGGGCCUUUGGCUAGACACUAUGGGCACCCCUCCAGCCAAGGGGUCAAAUAUAUCUUAAAGUAGAGAAACUAUUGCCAUGCUUCAUGCCUGCCAAUUUUCUACAAAGCAUAUGCUUAUCUGCAAGUUUAACUACGAAGUCCUCAAGCUACUCCAUAUAAAUCUUCUAAUCUAAAUCAUCAUGAAGAAAAGUAGUCUUGACAUCCAUCUGGUCAACCUCUAAAUCUAUACUCGCUGCUAAGCCUAGAACCACACGAAUAGAAGACAUCUUCACAAUAGGGGGAGAAAUACUUUAUCAAAGUCAACUCCCUUAUUCUGGCCAAAACCUUUAACAACUAACCUCACUUUGUACCUGGGCGCAAAGGUAUGAUUAUCUUGCUUUACUCUGAAUAUCCAUUUGUUUGAUAAAGCUUUCUUACCUUUUAGCAAUUCUACCAACUCAUAUGUGCCAUUCUCAUGGAAUGACUUCAUAUCAUCUUCCAUGGCUUCUAUCCACUGAUCUUUGUGAGUAUCUCGCAUGGUUUCAUCAUAAUUCUCAGGUUCUCCCAUGUCUGUCAAAAGUACGUACUCAUUAGGAGGAUAGUGUAUGGAUUUUUGUUUCUCCCUUGUAGAUCUUCUAAGAGAGGUUUCAAGUACAUUCAAAUUAGUUACCUGAGCAUGAAUUGGUUGUUGAUCAACUACAACUUCAUCAACUGGAGCAUCCAUAACAUCUACACCAUGAUGAUUAUUUGAUCUUGAUCACUAUCUUCAUUAUUAUCUUGGGUUCCUUCAUAUGCAAUAGGUGCCUUGGCAAUAGAAACUAGAUUAAUAUCAACUAAGAUCUCAUUACUAUGAGAAUCUAUCUUCUCAGCUUUGUCAAUAUCUUCAAUAGUCUGGUCUUCAAAGAAUAUUCCAUCACGGCUUCUAAUAAGUUUAUUGUCAACAUGAUCAUAAAAAUGAUACCCAAACUCAUCUUGACUAUAACCGAUAAAGAUGCACUGCUUAGUUUUGACAUCCAAUUUCAAUAUCUCAUCUUUAGGAAUAUGCACACAAGCUUUACACCCAAAAGCUCUCAAGUGAUCAUAAGAAACAUCUUUGGCAAACCAAACUCUAUCAGGGACAUCACCAUCCAAAGCAACAAUAGGAGAUAAAUUGAUAAUGUAAGCAACAGUAUUAAGUGCUUCCAUUCAAAAUGUAUUUGGAAGUUUAGCCUAUGAAAGAAAGUAUCUAACUCUCUCAACUAGAGUUUUAUUCAUCCUCUCUGCUAAACCAUUUAAUUGAGGCGUCUUUGGCAGAGUUUUCUUAUGAAGAAUUCCUUUUUCUUUGCAAUGUAUCAAAGCGACCACAAUAUUCACUACCAUUGUGAGUACAAACACAUUUUAAUUUCUUCCACGUCUGUCUCUCAACUACGGCCUGAAAUUUCUUAAACAUGCCAAAUGCUUGAUUUUUAGAUUUCAAAGGAUACACCCAGAGUUUACGAGAAUGAUCCUCAAUGAAUGUCACAAAGUAAAGUGCAUCACCUUUUGAAUUUACCUUAAAAGUACCAUACAAAUCAGCGUGUAUUAGCUCCAAUAAUUUGGGCUUUCUUGAAAGAGGAUGGCUAUAAAAGCAAACCUUUUUCUGUUUUCCAGCUAAACAAUGAACACCUUUUCAUCUUUGUUGGUUCUAUCCAAAAAGCAAAUAUUUCUUAGCCAAACACGUAAUCCCUAUCUCGUUCAUAUGACUCAGUCUUCUGUGCUACAAUUUUGAUAAAAUGUCACUUUCUACAAGAUUUAUGGAGUCAUUAAGAAUAAAGCCCUAUGUCACAUAUAAUUGAGAAGACUUGACUCCUCGAGCCACUACUAAUGAGCUUUUGGUGAGGUUUUAAUUUGCCAUUAAAGAGGGCAUUAUGGUAACCUUCACCAUCUAGUCUUCCUGCGGAGAUCAAAUUGAAAGGAAAGUGGAGCAUGCUUGACAUUCUGAAGAACUAACAUUGAACCAUUGUUAGUUUACAAACAAACUGUGCCAACACCAAACACCUUAACUUCACUAACAUUGCCCAUAUUUAACACUCCAGGGUCAACGGGAGUAUAAGAUGAGAAAAAGUCUUGUCUUGGUGUGACAUGUGAGGUAACUCCAGAAUCUACUAUCCAGCUCAUCUCAUGGGAUACCAAAUUGAUGACAUUUUCAUCAUAGGAAAAAAAGAAGGUCAACUUUCUCGUUAUUUUCAACUUUCUUUCCUUCUCUAAUGUCUCGCUUCAACUUGUGGUAAUACUUUUUGAUAUGACCUUUUUUGCCACAGUUGUUCCAUAUAAUAUUAUGGUAUUUAGACAUUGACUUACUUCUACUUUUACCUCUAUUCCUCGAACCUCUUGUUCUAUCUCUCCCUCGAUUUUCUGUAACCAAGAUAUGUACUUGUGAUGACGAACCCUGAUAUUUUCUCCUUACUUCCUCGUUGAACACACCACUCUUGGCAUAUUCCAUGGUCACCUUACCUCCAUGAGUUGAAUUUGUCAAAUAAACACAAAGAGUUUUUCAAGAGUCUAGUAAAGUAUUAAGAAGCCGAAGUUCUUGUAUCUCAUCAUUAAAAUUAACUCUCAUUUCAGACAAUUGAUCAAGGACGCGCUAAAAAUUAUUUAUAUGAUCAACGAUAGGACUGCCCUCUAUUGAUACCCAAUUCUUUCCAAAAAUAUUUUAAGAUUGCAUAUAUACCUUCAAAAUCAUGCAUUAAUAGCAAUUGGUAUUUUUCUAUAAUUUUUCUAUAUUUUUAUUAAUUUAUCCAGCACUUUUGUUUCCAAUAAAUAAUUACAAAAUGGCAUUACAAAUGAUUUCAGAAGCAUCUCUUGAUUUAAUUUAUUAUUUAUGGUCUUAUUUGAAUCAAAUUAUUUCAUAAUUGGCCAAACUGGCAUCCUUUGGCUAUAAUUGCAGUAACUUUGCAAUUAUAGCCCAAUCAUACGAUUUCAUACUAUUUUUUGACCUGAAAUUAAUCAUUUGUAUUUUUAAAUACCAAGUAAUCUUUUUAACUAUUUUUCUAUGCAUGAAAUUCAUUAUGUACAAUUAUCAUCUAUUUUUAUAAAUUGUUUUAUUUAAUUUAAUUGGGUAUUUAACAAAUAGCCCAUUUUAUUUCAAUUUUAACCCAAUUAAACCAGCCCCAAACCCCCAAUUAAAUCAUCCCAAUACCCCAGGCCCAAACCCAAUCCUACCCGACCCAAUUCCGUCCAAAUCCUGGCCGUUGAUCGUUUCUGAUCAACGGACCAGAUUAAUCCCUUCCUUAAUUAACCUAAAAGACUACCCCCCCCCCCUACAAACCCUCAUUUUCUAUCCUUCUCUCAUCACUCUCUGCCGUCUCAUCCUCUCAUUCUCUCUCAAGCCCUCUACACCUAAGCUUCUACUCGCCGGUCGUUGGCUCGCCGGUAUCAAUGGUGGUUCCACCACCACCCCUAGCCUCCAUGGUUCCCCUCACGCACCGGAUUCUUGUCAUCUCGAAGGUCCUCAAGGGACUGGUGGCUGCUCAACUCACACCUAUGGUCUGUGCUCACCAUUCUCAGGCCACCUUGUCCCGUCCGAGUAAGAUCUUUCUAUUUUCUGACUAGAUCUAUAGCUUCUAAGCCGCAAUCUCUCCAUCUCUGGGUUAUAUCUCUCUGAAACCCUAACUCAUCUCUUGACUCUUCCGAUCUACCAUAGAUCUGAGUAUAUUUUGAGUUAUUCCUGCAGUUUACCAUGAUAAACUCUCCGAUUUUUCAAAACGCCUCUUCGUCUUCAAAACUAGAGUUUCUUAACCCCUUUUUAUUACUUUUCCUCUGAUUUUCAGUAUUAUUCUAUAAUUUUUACUAUGUUUAAAUGGUUUAUUUAUGUUUUCUUUUAUCUGAUUCAUCAUGUUGGAAACCCCUAAUUUUUUUGGCUUUAGUCUCGGAUUAUGAGAUCGUCUUUACGAUUUGUCAUUCGAUUUGCCUGUAUGUUUAAUUCUCAUGAAUAUGCCGCGAUUAAUUAGAGUAUUUUUAUGGUUUUUAUCCUAGUAGUAUCUUGUUAAGGUUUUCGAUUUGGUUCUUCCUGUUUAUACUCUGUUUAUUAGUUUAUUCAUGGAAGUCUAUUUUCCUUAAUAUUAGUACUAUUUUUCGAUUCUUGAAUCCUUGAUUUACUGUGUUGAUACUCUUAUAUAGAUUUCUGGCUAUUUUUCCUAUCCCUUAAAUUAUUUUUUUCCUUAUUAUGUGGUUGACCAUAUUAUUAAUUGAUUUCUACUGUUAUUUCCUUAAUUAGACCCUUAUGUAUCUAUCCCUAAUUCACACAUUCUGUACCUAUGUUUUUUGAAUUCUUUCCUUAUUUGUUACCUACUUUCUACCAUAGGUAAAUUACUCCCUUAAUUAAGCGAUACUUGGCUGAUUUUCGUUCUUAAUUGAUUUUGUAGUUCUAUAAUUGCUGAACAAUUGUUUCUUGCCUUAUUUUACCUAGCUUUCAAACUAUUAUAUAUACUCUCUUCUCUUUUCAUUACACACACGAACAAAUUUGGUUCAAAACUCUCUCUCACACACUAAAAGCUCUCUGCCCUCUUUGUGAUUACUUACUACUGUUCUAAGUUAGCCGGCUGCAAGCCAAGGCUAAUUAUUGUGCUCUCCUAUUCUUCACUUUUGUUUACUGUCACUUUACUAGUAUGUCCUGAUUUCAAUUAAAGUUCCAAAACCAAUAUAUUUCAUUUACUGCUUCAACUUAUCAUGUUUCUGAUUUGUUUCUAUCUAUGGUUCUGUUGUUCAAAGUGUAAUUGACAUGCAUGUAUUACGGCUUCAUGUAGCAUGCUAGUUCUGCUCCCCUAGUUGUCUGUUUCAAUAUGACCCUAUCCUACUUUGAAUACUUGUUUACUUGUUGUCUAGUUUUGACAUGCACUUUCUUUGCAAACUGAAUUGUCACUUUAGAUGUCUGAUUCUAUGAUUGCUUCUGAAUCUAUACUGUGUUGAUAUCACUAGCUAUUCCCUAAUCCCAUAAACCCUCACAAGGAUUGUUAUGCUCCUGUAACUAUGUGUUUACUCACAUGACCUAUGUGUCCCCAAAUCCCUUGACCCCUGUUUGUGGGUGUUGAACCUGCCUUUGUUCUAUGAUCUCUGGCUAUAUAUGAACCUAUUUUGGGGGGUGUUGUGUUUGGACUGUUGUUUACUACUCCACUCUCUUUUCGAAACUGUAUCUAUUAUCUUUUACAGAACUAUUUCAAACAAGUCCCUUUUCAAACUGUUUCCCUGCUUAAAUCUUUUCAAACAUUCUCACAUCUACUCAUAGUUUAAGUUUUGCCCCUCUAAUGUGUGACUGCUUAGGGAUCCCUAUGAGAUCCCUUUGAACUCUGAUACAUUAGAACUAGCCCUUCUGUACUGCAUUUACUCAACUAUGACUAUGAAAUCUGGGUGUGAACACUGCCCGGGAUCCCUUGAGGUCCUUAUGGAACUCUGACACACCUGAAUUAUAUGAAAGGCUAUGAGGCAAUCUGGCAUUGGAACUUUUGGAAAUCUGGGCCUAUUGGUAGGAUCCCUAUAGAGUAACUUCUUAUUUUUCUUAUCUACUUAUUUAAUUCAUUCGAUAUUGGCCUGUAAUAAUUUGUAAACGAAUAUGGGGGUUGAAUAGUGAAAAAUGGCAGGGUAGCUAUACAUGUUAUCAAUAUCAAUGGGUAGAAAAUAUGCUUUAGGUUUAUAUCCUCCUGUAUCUGUAUUAGAACUCAUGAUUAGGACCAAUACAUGCAAAGCAUAUCAUGUAUUAGAAACCAUGCUCCUAGGUUCCAUGUCUACUACCUUCAGCAUUUCAUUUUGACAUCUAUAUUAUCACAUAGAAAUCCAGUUUCUAGGAUAAACGACAUUAAAGAUAAACUAUCACCUAUGCAUUUUGAAAUCAUGUUAUAACCUGCUGUGCAUUUAGAAAUCAUGCUUUAGGAAUUCUUUACAUGCAUCUUAGAUACCAUGCUUUAGGAUCUCUUUCGUACUUGCUCAGUCAUACAUAGUGUAAACUACUGAUUAUGAAAGAUGUGAAAAACAACUUCACAUUCAAUUAUCUUGUUUAAAAUAAAUUGGUAAUAAUUCCUGUAUUUUAUAACACUUAGAACAGUAUGCUUUAGGUAAAAUAACUCCUUCAUUAUUCUAAUAGUUCUGAUAACAAUUGUGCAUUAUCUUACCCCUAGGAAAGCCUUAGGUAAUCCAAUUUCUUGUAAAACUGGAAACUGCCCCUUUGUGUGUACUGCUUAAUAAUUAACAUGCUUAAUAUCAGUAGGCAAAUUGAUUAGGGCCCCUGCUUUUGAGUUAUAAAAUGAACCUGCAUAUCUACUGUGUUCUGAUACUCACCUAGACAUCAUGUCUUAGGAUACUGAUUAACAAUAAGGCCCUUAUUUAUGUUUGACUCGUGCUAUGUGUGUUAUUUGAGGAGGUGAACUUGAGCCUCUAAUUUCUCCUUUUCUGUCUUAUGUGCUAAGGUCCUAAUUGUUCUUGCAUGUAGCCUUAGUCUUUUAUCCUUUAAACCUUAGGGGUCUGUCUAGAACUACCUAUAGGUAGAGGUCCUAAAUUUUCUCUAGGACCAUUAAGAAGGGACGGGUAACAGCACACAGUAGAGAUCGCUAACCAACACUCGCAUUAAUAACCACUAAGGGGGUGGGAAGGGUAGAUAUUGGAUAUGAUAACUAUGCGCUAAUGUCACGUGUAGCCCCUCAUUGAAGAGUGUUUACCGGACAUUGUGUGGGGUGAUCCUAUAGGCUAACCAACCUAGGACUCCUCCUUUCCCAAAAGUCCUUUUGUUUAAAACUUUGUUUUGUAUGUAUACACCUUGUUCAAAAUCAUUGCCUUGUUAUUUGAGUUAUACAACGUCCAACGUGCUUUACUUGCAAAAUAUUUGAUUCAACUAUUUACUUGUUAAUGGACUAAUUCGUAAGUAUAAGUUCGGUCGGGACCCACGGUUGUGAACCGAGAGGGGUACCUAACACCUUCCUCUCGAGGUCAUUUCGAGCCCUUAUCCUAAUCUCUGGUAAUGCAAACCAAUCCAAGAUUUAAUCGCUCUAGGUGUCCUAAUGCACCAUAACCCGUUAGGUGGCGACUCUUCAAAUACCCAAUUCCCAAAAGGAAAUGAUUUAUUACCCCCAUGAAUGUCGAAACCCAGACUCUCUCCGUGGAGGGAAAAAAGGGAGGCGCGAUAGCAUGGCGACUUUGCUGGGGAUACCUUUUAGGCUCUUACCAUAACGAAUUUAUCUUUUUAUGAAUUAGUCCAAUCAUGCUUUAUCCUGUACCCUUCUCCCUUAUUUGAAUUUAACUAUCCAUUUUUUAAGCGUUUAUGGUUUUUUAUCCCUGAAACUGACUUGUCCCUUUGUUUUCUUUUUUCCUGUAACUGUCUUUCAAUUAUUUAAAUGCUGUAUUUAUUUUCCUACGUGCAAAUACUUGAGUACAUGCUAUUAAUUGCUACAUAAAUUAUGCUCUGCAUCAUAUUCCACUCAUGUGUAUCAAAUCCCAUAACAACGCUUUAAUGAGUGGUUGCGCUCUUCCUAUUUACUACCCUUAAAUUCAGAAAGUCUUAUUUGCGGUAAACCCAUUCGAUCAACGGUGCAGUCAACGGUUCCGCGCCUUCCUCCUCGAGUUGUCCUCUUGAGGGUACCAAUCUAAAACCCCAUAAAAACCUUACUCUGGUGAAAAUUGUGCAUGCAUCAUGGUCAAACCUAGUCGGAUCAGUUAUGUUGUCCACAUAAUAAUGUUUUAAGAUAAGCCUUAUCCAAAGUCCAUCGGGUUUUCCAUAAUCCCAACGGACAUAACCACAUUCCGUGCAUUAAUUUGGAGAACUAAAUGCCGAUAUGUUGAUCAUAAAUGUAUAAAUAGUCAAGUCCGAUAGGGGUAAGAUCUUUUGUUUUGCAAAAAAAAGUGGCACGAGGUCCCCAUAUUCGGUAUGGUUAGCAAUAUCCCACCAUUGCUGCUAGAUUAGUGGGAGGACCUUUCCUCAAGUGACAAGAAACAUCUGAGAAAGUACCUGGGUAACAUGCCUUCCUUGCUAGAUAUUGAGCCAAACAACAAACUGAUCGAGUCUGCCACUGUAUUCUGGGAUAGUGAAAGGGCUGUGUUUUGUUUCGGCGACAUAGAAAUGGCACCGCUUCUAGAGGAAAUUGGAGGGCUUGCGGGAUUGACUUGGGACAGUCCCGGGCUAUUGGUACCAAAAAACCAUACGGGCAGAGGUUUUUUGAAGAUGAUGGGGCUGAAGAAGAAUGUCGACCUAGUGUGCUUAAAAGAAUCCUACAUACCUUUUGAAUACCUAUACGAGAGGUAUGGCCAUAGCAAGUCUUUCCGUACUUACCAUGAUAAGAUCUCUCUCACUUCUUUGGGUCACAUCUACCGCAGAGUGUUUGUAUUCAUUGUGUGCUUCCUAGGCCUGAUAGUGUUCCCAAUGAAAAAGGGAAGAAUCUACACUAGGUUGACCAUGGUCUCCAAGACUUUGAUGGAAGGGAUUAAUGGACAGACAUAUAUCAUAGUCCCCAUGAUCAUAACCGACAUCUAUAGGGCUCUGGAGCGCUGUCAAAGAGGGGUCAAGCAUUUCGAGGGUUGUAACUUGUUGCUGCAGUUAUGGUUGUUGGAGCAUUUCCAAAAGGAUCGCUAUCGCCAAGAAUUUCCGCAAAGGGCUUGGAAUGACCAUAUUUCCUUCUAUCACCCCAAGCAGAUGGCUUACAUUCCAAACAGAUUUGCUCAGCCGGAAAGUGCCAAAGAAUGGGUAGAGUUCUUCAACAAUCUGACCGAGGAACAAGUGCAGUGGAUGUUUGAAUGGUUCCCAACAGACGAAUUUAUUAUCAUAUCUAGGGAUGCUCCGCACUUGGUGUUGAUCGGGUUAAGAGGGAUAUACCCAUAUGUCCCUAUGCGAGUUAUGAGGCAAGCAGGCAGAAAACAGGUUGUACCAAGGGUUGUCAAGAUGAGUCAUUUCAGGGCAGACUUUCAAGAUGACGAUGUCCCUUAUAAGUGUCAAGCUCAGCACAUGUGGCACUGCAAAAUCAUUGUGGAGAAGAACACUGUUGAGCCAGACAAGUAUCAUGCAGGGUGCCAACCUCUCUACCCGGCAUGGUUGGAGGAUAAUCUGAAAGGAAUGUUGACACCAGGGGCCGGUCGAGGGAACAGAAUCAUAGAUGAGGAAGUUGAAUCUCAAGAUAAGUACAACAGGCUGCGCAAGAGGGUCCACGACUCUGAGAAUGAGCACCGAGAAAUACAUGAGAGGAAUGCGAGGUUGAUCAAAUGGAAAGAGAUGGCAGUCACUUCCAACAGGAAACUGGAAUAUCUAGAGCGAGGAAUAGUAGAGCUGGAAGGUAAAGUCACAAAGAGGAUUGAAAUUUGCCAGAACGCUAAAGGAACUGAAGGAGGACAUUUGGCCAGAGCCUACUUGCUGCUGGGGCUGCGCGAUCUGGGGAAUCUGUAUAAUGGAGUCCAGAAGAUAGAAUUUGGGGAAGGUCCUUCUGGGACCAAAUAGGCUAGAUUUACCUGCUUUUCCUAAAAAUGUAAUAAGGCCAAGUGCCAGUAGUGACUUAUUUCAUUAUUAUCUUAGUGUUGUUUUGGGAUUCGUCUAUUUUUAUAUUAUGAAAUAAAGCAUUUAUUAGCAUUAAAAGUUCUCCAAAUCUAUUUCUCGCUAGGCCUACCUCGGGCACAAUGAGGUUCCCAAACUAAGACGCGAAUUUACAUUUCUGCAAUAUGUGUUUAAAUACUGCAAACAUUUCAGGAUCCUAACUGACUUGUUACCUUUUUUGUGUUUUGUUUAUUUUUUAUUGUUAUUCCCAUCCCCUUAGGUUGGUUCACUCAUACUGGCCUCAUCAGCAUACCACACCAGAUCUAGAGGCUUUCCACCUCCUCCUCCUCCAAGCAAUACAAAAGGCAUAGAAAAAGCAAAAAUGGACGACUUAAGUGGUAUCUGAAAGGAGAAUAUUGAGAACGCAAAAACCUCAGAUGGCCGUAGUACUCCGGCCCCAAAGGAUCUGGUCUUGAGACUGGAACAAAAGAUACGGGAACUGCAAGGAGAACUUGAGCAGGUUCGCAACUUAGCAAACUUGUCAUUCACCCUCAACGUCCCCGAUAUCCACCAACAAAACACAAAGAACCCAGCACCUCCUCAAAACACACAAAACCAACAGCCACAAAAUCCUACCCAUAUAUCAAACACCUCCACCCACAUAUCAAACACCUCUACCCACAUACCAACCAUCACCGCCUACAUAUCAACCUUCAUCUCCCAGAUAUUCCCAACUAACCACUGACCAUCACACCUAUAACUCCCAACUGUGAGAACGUAAUUUUUGCUUUAUAUGAAUUAUUCCCAUAAAUUCAAACAAAAUAAAUUUUUUCAUUGUUUGCAAUUUCGUGGAUUUUUGUAGCAUUUUUUUGAUUAAUUGUUUGCAUUUGUCUGUACACAUUUAUUUUAUUUAAUUCAUGAAAAAAUACAAAAAUAUGUUGCAUUUGCAUUUAGAAUUUAAUUUGGCAUUUUUAAAAUAGGUAAUAAUUUAGUUGUGUUACAAAAAAUAGAAAAAUUACAAAAAAUAACUCAUUUCUGCAUAUAGCGUCGAAUUUUGUAAUUUGUUUAAAUUUGGUAAUUAAUUAGUUAUGGUAAGUAUUAUUUUGAGUAAUUAAUCUAAUUUGGUAGGAUAAUUUGGUUUAGAAAUUAAUUUAGGUUCUAAAUUUUGAAAAGAAAAGAAUUUUUGAAAAUAAAAAUUGAAAGAAAAGGAAAAGGAAAUGAAAGGCCUGAUCUUUGGGCCAUUUUAAUUUGAUUUCAUCCAAGCCCAAAUCGAAUUUCAUCCAUUAACACAUCGAAAUUGGCCCAAAACCCAUUGUUUUACCCGGUCCAACUGGUCAGUCAUGGAGACCUUUGAAACGACAUAGUAUGGGGGCGAUACUACGUCGUUUCGAGUUCAUUGGUUCUUAAAUCGAUCUGAUCCCUUCAUAUCCUCUCAUCCAACAGUUGAGGGGGCUUCGUCAAAUUUUUAUAACAUUGUCCAAAAUUCCUCAGAAAACUGGUCAGUUCCCCAAACACCCUUCACUUCAUCUCCCUCAUCUCAAUAACCCUAAUCCGCCGCCCUUUCACUCGCCGGCGGCGCCGCCUCAGACCAACCUCCAACCACCACCAAAAUCCAGCCAUGCAACCAUCACCCUUCCCUGAGUCCUAAUCCACCACCACUUCUCCCCAAAUCCUCGCCAAAUCGGACCAGUUUUGAAUCUAAAAAUUGAAGGAAAGAAAAUCUUUCAAGAUUUUAGUUUUUUAUGAACAAUGCGGCUUGAAACUAGUGUUGUUCAUUUGUUCUCAAAGAGAACAUGCGGGUAAUACCAGUUUCGGGUCAAAUCGAAAUCGCCUGUCAAGCCCUAUCCGUAUGGCCAUCUA
Molecule: long non-coding RNA, 40216 nt
Filed under: Nicotiana tabacum (common tobacco)
Lineage: Eukaryota; Viridiplantae; Streptophyta; Magnoliopsida; Solanales; Solanaceae
Description: long non-coding RNA (NTAB_LNC018367)
Source: RNAcentral